UUCAGAAACUUGUUUCAAGUCAAGUCAGCUUUAUUGUCAGAUGUGCUAUACAUGCAUGACAUACGGCACAAAUGAAAUUUCAGUCCUCUCAGACCCACGGUGCAAAAUG
This is a long non-coding RNA of Sander lucioperca (pikeperch), 109 nucleotides long. RefSeq lists it as uncharacterized. Lineage: Eukaryota; Metazoa; Chordata; Actinopteri; Perciformes; Percidae. The record is from RefSeq and is a predicted model, not a curated record. The transcript is spliced from 3 exons.